GAUGAACGCUAGCUACAGGCUUAACACAUGCAAGUCGAGGGGAGACGACAUCGAAAGCUUGCUUUUGAUGGGCGUCGACCGGCGCACGGGUGAGUAACGCGUAUCCAACCUGCCCACCACUUGGGGAUAACCUUGCGAAAGUAAGACUAAUACCCAAUGAUAUCCCACGAAGACAUCUGAAUGGGAUUAAAGAUUUAUCGGUGAUGGAUGGGGAUGCGUCUGAUUAGCUUGUUGGCGGGGUAACGGCCCACCAAGGCAACGAUCAGUAGGGGUUCUGAGAGGAAGGUCCCCCACAUUGGAACUGAGACACGGUCCAAACUCCUACGGGAGGCAGCAGUGAGGAAUAUUGGUCAAUGGGCGAGAGCCUGAACCAGCCAAGUAGCGUGCAGGAAGACGGCCCUAUGGGUUGUAAACUGCUUUUAGAAGGGAAUAAAGUGGGUCACGUGUGACUUUUUGCAUGUACCUUAUGAAUAAGGACCGGCUAAUUCCGUG
Molecule: ribosomal RNA, 492 nt
Filed under: uncultured bacterium
Lineage: Bacteria
Description: partial 16S ribosomal RNA
Rfam family: Bacterial small subunit ribosomal RNA
Source: RNAcentral